Molecule: ribosomal RNA, 323 nt
Filed under: Paraclostridium sp. AKS46
Lineage: Bacteria; Bacillati; Bacillota; Clostridia; Peptostreptococcales; Peptostreptococcaceae
Description: bacterial SSU rRNA
Rfam family: Bacterial small subunit ribosomal RNA
Source: RNAcentral
AUAUUUGAGAGUUUGAUCCUGGCUCAGGAUGAACGCUGGCGGCGUGCCUAACACAUGCAAGUCGAGCGAUCUCUUCGGAGAGAGCGGCGGACGGGUGAGUAACGCGUGGGUAACCUGCCCUGUACACACGGAUAACAUACCGAAAGGUAUACUAAUACGGGAUAACAUACGAAAGUCGCAUGGCUUUUGUAUCAAAGCUCCGGCGGUACAGGAUGGACCCGCGUCUGAUUAGCUAGUUGGUAAGGUAAUGGCUUACCAAGGCAACGAUCAGUAGCCGACCUGAGAGGGUGAUCGGCCACACUGGAACUGAGACACGGUCCAGA